Non-coding RNA from Trichobilharzia regenti, 45 nucleotides. The record is from Rfam. Lineage: Eukaryota; Metazoa; Platyhelminthes; Trematoda; Strigeidida; Schistosomatidae.
AUCUAGUUGAAGAGUCCUAACUAGGACAAAAUGCGCAUCCUGGAU